UACGUAGGGUGCGAGCGUUGUUCGGAUUUACUGGGCGUAAAGGGCGCGCAGGCGGCUCAUCAAGUCAGGCGUGAAAGCCCCGGGCUUAACCUGGGAGGUGCGUCUGGGACUGGUGGGCUAGAGUUCGGGAGAGGAGCGUGGAAUUCCCAGUGUAGAGGUGAAAUUCGUAGAUAUUGGGAAGAACACCGGUGGCGAAGGCGGCGCUCUGGACCGAGACUGACGCUGAGGCGCGAAAGCGUGGGGAGCAAACAGG
This 253-nucleotide ribosomal RNA is filed under the name uncultured bacterium. RNAcentral's name for it is "partial 16S ribosomal RNA". It matches the Rfam family "Bacterial small subunit ribosomal RNA", at positions 524 to 776 of the family's 1533-position model. The record is from RNAcentral.